Molecule: ribosomal RNA, 729 nt
Filed under: Planostrea pestigris
Lineage: Eukaryota; Metazoa; Mollusca; Bivalvia; Ostreida; Ostreidae
Description: 16S ribosomal RNA
Rfam family: Bacterial large subunit ribosomal RNA (bases 1-639)
Source: RNAcentral
UAGUAGUAAAUAGAAAUGUUUAAUUAAACUUAACUAAAGGAACUCGGCAAAACAAAGCCUCGCCUGUUUAGCAAAAACAUCACUGGGAGAAAUUUAACUCUCAGCAAUGCCUGCCCAGUGCGGUUAGAUAGUCGUAAACGGCCGCCCUAGCGUGAGGGUGCUAAGGUAGCGAAAUUCCUUGCCUUUUAAUUGUAGGCCUGCAUGAAUGGUUUGACGAGGGCUUAACUGUCUCUAGUUUUUAUAUCAAAAUUGGAUUAAAGGUGAAGAUACCUUUAUAAAAAAGUCAGACAAGAAGACCCCGUGCAACUUUUAAAGUCAGUUUAUUAAGAAGUACAAGAUUUUUUAGGUGGGGCGCCUAUUGAGUAAAACUAACCUCUAUGUAUAAAUAAAACUAUCUAGUGUAGACCCGGCAAUGCCGAUCAUAGGAGAAGUUACGCCGGGGAUAACAGGCUAAUCCAUUAGUAGAGAACGUAUUGGCUAAUGGGAUUGGCACCUCGAUGUUGAAUCAGGGAUGAUACCUUUAAGGCGUAGAAGCUUUAAAAGUGGGUCUGUUCGACCUUUAAUACCCUACGUGAUUUGAGUUCAGACCGGCGUAAGCCAGGUCGGUUUCUAUCUUCUUUUUGAAAAUUCUUUUGGCAUGUACGAAAGGACCGUUAAAAGAGGAAAUUUCCUUAUUGAAGAAAAAUAUUUAAGCAAAAUUAAAUACAAUCUAAAGUAAUACAGAUUUAC